GACGAACGCUGGCGGCGUGCUUAACACAUGCAAGUCGAACGGAAAGGCCCUGCUUUUGUGGGGUGCUCGAGUGGCGAACGGGUGAGUAACACGUGAGUAACCUGCCCUUGACUUUGGGAUAACUUCAGGAAACUGGGGCUAAUACCGGAUAGGAGCUCCUGCUGAAUGGUGGGGGUUGGAAAGUUUCGGCGGUUGGGGAUGGACUCGCGGCUUAUCAGCUUGUUGGUGGGGUAGUGGCUUACCAAGGCUUUGACGGGUAGCCGGCCUGAGAGGGUGACCGGCCACAUUGGGACUGAGAUACGGCCCAGACUCCUACGGGAGGCAGCAGUGGGGAAUAUUGCACAAUGGGCGGAAGCCUGAUGCAGCAACGCCGCGUGCGGGAUGACGGCCUUCGGGUUGUAAACCGCUUUCGCCUGUGGCGAAGCGUGAGUGACGGUAAUGGGUAAAGAAGCACCGGCUAACUACGUG
This 468-nucleotide ribosomal RNA is filed under the name uncultured bacterium. Its description in RNAcentral is "partial 16S ribosomal RNA". It matches the Rfam family "Bacterial small subunit ribosomal RNA", at positions 28 to 507 of the family's 1533-position model. The record is from RNAcentral.